UGGGGUAUGGUGUAACGGUAGCACAAACGCCUCUGGAGCGUUUUGUCUAGGUUCGAAUCCUAGUACCCCAG
Molecule: transfer RNA, 71 nt
Filed under: Acidobacteriota bacterium
Lineage: Bacteria; Pseudomonadati; Acidobacteriota
Also listed under: 1 other name
Description: Acidobacteria bacterium (soil metagenome) tRNA-Gln
Rfam family: tRNA
About the family: Transfer RNA (tRNA) molecules are approximately 80 nucleotides in length. Their secondary structure includes four short double-helical elements and three loops (D, anti-codon, and T loops). Further hydrogen bonds mediate the characteristic L-shaped molecular structure. tRNAs have two regions of fundamental functional importance: the anti-codon, which is responsible for specific mRNA codon recognition, and the 3' end, to which the tRNAs corresponding amino acid is attached (by aminoacyl-tRNA synthetases). tRNAs cope with the degeneracy of the genetic code in two manners: having more than one tRNA (with a specific anti-codon) for a particular amino acid; and 'wobble' base-pairing, i.e. permitting non-standard base-pairing at the 3rd anti-codon position.
Source: RNAcentral